CACGUAGUUAGCCGUGGCUUUCUGGUCAGAUACCGUCAAGGCUGGAGCAGUUACUCUCCAACUUGUUCUUCUCUGACAACAGAGUUUUACGAUCCGAAAACCUUCUUCACUCACGCGGCGUUGCUCCGUCAGACUUUCGUCCAUUGCGGAAGAUUCCCUACUGCUGCCUCCCGUAGGAGUUUGGGCCGUGUCUCAGUCCCAAUGUGGCCGAUCACCCUCUCAGGUCGGCUACGUAUCAUCGUCUUGGUGAGCCGUUACCUCACCAACUAACUAAUACGCCGCGGGUCCAUCCAUAAGCGACAGCACAAAGGCCGUCUUUCCUUUCUCAAUCAUGCGAUCAAGAAAACUAUGCGGUAUUAGCACCCGUUUCCGGAUGUUAUCCCCCUCUUAUGGGCAGGUUACCCACGUGUUACUCACCCGUUCGCCACUAUCUUCUCAGUGGAAGCAAGCUUCCAUAGAAAAGCCGUUCGACUUGCAUGUAUUAGGCACGCCGCCAGCGUUCGU
This 504-nucleotide ribosomal RNA is filed under the name uncultured Trichococcus sp. RNAcentral describes it as "partial 16S ribosomal RNA". Lineage: Bacteria; Bacillati; Bacillota; Bacilli; Lactobacillales; Carnobacteriaceae. The record is from RNAcentral.